GCAGCUGCAGACUAACUACGUACCAGCAGGCGGCGGUAAUACGUAGGGUGCAAGUCGAUAUCCAGGAAUUAUAGGGCGUAAAGAGCUCGUAGGCGGUUUGUCGCGUCUGCCGUGAAAGUCCGGGGCUCAACUCCGGAUCUGCGGUGGGUACGGGCAGACUAGAGUGAUGUAGGGGAGACUGGAAUUCCUGGUGUAGCGGUGAAAUGCGCAGAUAUCAGGAGGAACACCGAUGGCGAAGGCAGGUCUCUGGGCAUUAACUGACGCUGAGGAGCGAAAGCAUGGGGAGCGAACAGGAUUAGAUACCCUGGUAGUCCAUCCCGUAAACGUUGGGCACUAGGUGUGGGGGACAUUCCUCGUUUUCCGCGCCGUAGCUAACGCAUUAAGUGCUCCGCCUGGGGAGUACGUCCGCAAGGCUAAAACUCAAAGGAAUUGACGGGGACCCGCACAAGCGGCGGAGCAUGCGGAUUAAUUCGAUGCAACGUGAAGAACCUUACCAAGGCUUGACAUGAACCAGACCGGGCUGGAAACAGUCCUUCCCCUUGUGGGUUGGUUUACAGGUGGUGCAUGGUUGUCGUCAGCUCGUGUCGUGAGAUGUUGGGUUAAGUCCCGCAACGAGCGCAACCCUCGUUUUAUGUUGCCAGCACGUGAUGGUGGGGACUCAUAGGAGACUGCCGGGGUCAACUCGGAGGAAGGUGGGGACGACGUCAAAUCAUCAUGCCCCUUAUGUCUUGGGCUUCACGCAUGCUACAAUGGCCGGUACAAAGGGUUGCGAUACUGUGAGGUGGAGCUAAUCCCAAAAAGCCGGUCUCAGUUCGGAUUGGGGUCUGCAACUCGACCCCAUGAAGUCGGAGUCGUUAGUAAUCGCAGAUCAGCAACGCUGCGGUGAAUACGUUCCCGGGCCUUGUACACACCGCCCGUCAAGUCACGAAAGUUGGUAACACCCGAAGCCGGUGGCCUAACCCCUUGUGGGAGGGAGCUGUCGAAGGUGCCCCGCCGGUCA
RNAcentral lists this ribosomal RNA (1000 nucleotides) under Pseudarthrobacter sp. RNAcentral describes it as "bacterial SSU rRNA". It matches the Rfam family "Bacterial small subunit ribosomal RNA", at positions 487 to 1474 of the family's 1533-position model. Lineage: Bacteria; Bacillati; Actinomycetota; Actinomycetes; Micrococcales; Micrococcaceae. The record is from RNAcentral.